Cercocebus atys (sooty mangabey) is the source of this 86-nucleotide microRNA precursor. The record is from Ensembl. Lineage: Eukaryota; Metazoa; Chordata; Mammalia; Primates; Cercopithecidae.
GGUACAAUUCCAGUGGCCCUGACUGAAAACCAGCAGUUGUACUGUAGCUGUUGGUUUCAAGCAGAGGCCUAAAGGACUGUCUUCCU